GAUGAAGAGCGUAGUUAAAUGCGAUACUUGGUGUGAAUUGCAGAAUCCCGUGAACCAUCGAGUCUUUGAACGCAAGUUGCGCCCGAAGCCAUUAGGCCGAGGGCACGCCUGCCUGGGCGUCACACGUCGUUGCCCCCCCAUCUACUCCUUCGGGAUUGCGGGGGGCGGAUGAUGGCCUCCCGUGCGCCUCGUCGCGCGGUUGGCAUAAAUGCCAAGUCCUCGGCGACGCACGCCACGACAAUCGGUGGUUGCGAAACCUCGGUUGCCCGUCGUGUGCGGUCGUCGCGCAUCGAGGGCUCGAAAAAAUUGCCGGGCUCCGGCUCGGCUUUCAACGCGACCCCAGGUCAGGCGGGGUUACCCGCUGAAUUUAAGCAUAUCAAUAAGCGGAGGA
RNAcentral lists this unclassified non-coding RNA (391 nucleotides) under soil metagenome. RNAcentral describes it as "partial contains 5.8S ribosomal RNA, internal transcribed spacer 2, and large subunit ribosomal RNA". The stretch from base 1 to 122 matches the Rfam family "5.8S ribosomal RNA", at positions 35 to 154 of the family's 154-position model. The record is from RNAcentral.